UACUAGUUUUUGGGUAUUGAAUAUAAGAUAUGGUUAUCAUAUUUGCAAUAUUGUGCAAUAACUAAAGAAAAAUAAACGAUUGUGUAAAGACAAAGUGGACCUAUGUGUUGGCAAUGAGCAAGAGUUACUGCAUUAAUUAUAGGAAUUUAUUGUUUAACUUUUUCAAGUGGGUUGAUACUAUAACUUGAUAAUUAUUAUUUUGUUCUAGUACUUUCUAUAAAUAUCAUAUUCAUUUCUUACU
RNAcentral lists this long non-coding RNA (241 nucleotides) under Populus trichocarpa (black cottonwood). RNAcentral's name for it is "long non-coding RNA (PTRI_LNC000347)". Lineage: Eukaryota; Viridiplantae; Streptophyta; Magnoliopsida; Malpighiales; Salicaceae. The record is from RNAcentral.